ACGCGAGAACCUGCCGUAUACUGGGGGAUAACACUUAGAAAUAGGUGCUAAUACCGCAUAAGCGCACAGCUUCGCAUGAAGCGGUGUGAAAAACUCUGGUGGUAUACGAUGGUUCCGCGUCUGAUUAGCUAGUUGGUGGGGUAAUGGCCUACCAAGGCAACGAUCAGUAGCCGGCCUGAGAGGGUGAACGGCCACAUUGGGACUGAGACACGGCCCAAACUCCUACGGGAGGCAGCAG
This 238-nucleotide ribosomal RNA is filed under the name uncultured bacterium. RNAcentral describes it as "partial 16S ribosomal RNA". It matches the Rfam family "Bacterial small subunit ribosomal RNA", at positions 115 to 354 of the family's 1533-position model. The record is from RNAcentral.